RNAcentral lists this long non-coding RNA (254 nucleotides) under Ananas comosus (pineapple). RNAcentral's name for it is "long non-coding RNA (ACOM_LNC035718)". The record is from RNAcentral. Lineage: Eukaryota; Viridiplantae; Streptophyta; Magnoliopsida; Poales; Bromeliaceae.
CCAACAAUUAUCGUCGGGUAAUUGUUCGGAUCCGGGUUCCCGGAAGUGUCUAUUUUAACACCGGAACCCACCGUCGCUCGUCAUCACCGAAUCCACUAUUUGACGAUGGUGACCAACCGACAAGGCUUAGCGACAACUCACAAGGCAACCAAACAACAUCGAAAGAAAUUCGAACCGAAACCGCGUUCUUUCAACGAAUUUCGCCGAAAAAUGCACCGAAAUCGACUCCUCGAUUUCCGCAAAAGCUAACGGAU